RNAcentral lists this ribosomal RNA (256 nucleotides) under uncultured bacterium. RNAcentral describes it as "partial 16S ribosomal RNA". It matches the Rfam family "Bacterial small subunit ribosomal RNA", at positions 524 to 777 of the family's 1533-position model. The record is from RNAcentral.
UACGGAGGGUGCGAGCGUUGUCCGGAAUCAUUGGGCGUAAAGGGCGCGUAGGUGGCCCGGUCAGUUCGUGGUGAAAGCGCGGGGCUCAACCCUGCGUCGGCCAUGAAUACUGCCGCGGCUGGAGCACUGUAGAGGCAGGCGGAAUUCCGGGUGUAGCGGUGGAAUGCGUAGAGAUCCGGAAGAACACCCGUGGCUAAGGCGGCUACUCUAGUACGGUACUGACGCUGAGACGCGAAAGCGUGGGGAGCGAACAGGA